UUUUUUGUUCAAUAUUAUUAUUGAGUUUUAAUGUUUAGAGUUUUUUUAUUGAUAGAUAGCAUUCCUAAAAAGGAAUUUUCGUCGUUUUAAAUGGCAUCUAAACAUGAAGUACCUUUCCACGCUUUGUCCAACAUUUGUUGUCGAGUUUUUUCAUGUGGAUUUUUUUGCAGAGUAAAUCAUUGAUAAUUCAAGACUUAAAAAUUCUAUCUUCAUUUUAAGGAUUUUCAAACAACAAUGCAAGACUUGGAGGUAGAUUUGAGAAAAUCGCAAACUGCUUAUAAAGACCAAAAGGACAAGCAUGAAAAACACAAGGUUGAUGAUUGUCGUCGUCGCCAUAACUACGACCCUUUCAUAUCAACAUUUCUCACAAUGUUAGCUGAGCGUGGACUUCUGUCUAAACUUCUAGAGCAAGAAAACUCCCUCGUGAAACGAGUAACAAUUUCUUCAUCGCAUAACGCAAACAAAUCGCUUGAUAAGAAAAAUGCAAAGAGGAAGCGGAAGAGAUGAGUGUAGAGAUAGAUGUGUAAAUUGUGUUGAUAUUAUACUCAAAUUAUUUUAAUUUUUCAAAUAUGUCUUAAUAAGUGUUGGUCAAUGUUUUAACUGUGAUCUUUA
This is a non-coding RNA of Rhopilema esculentum, 612 nucleotides long. Lineage: Eukaryota; Metazoa; Cnidaria; Scyphozoa; Rhizostomeae; Rhizostomatidae. The record is from RefSeq and is a predicted model, not a curated record.